RNAcentral lists this long non-coding RNA (383 nucleotides) under Salvator merianae (Argentine black and white tegu). RNAcentral's name for it is "lncRNA (ENSSMRG00000007421.1)". The record is from RNAcentral. Lineage: Eukaryota; Metazoa; Chordata; Lepidosauria; Squamata; Teiidae.
GAAGGGUUAGGAAUGUGUUCCUCUUGAGGAAGAAAUAGAGAGAUAACAAGGAGAGGGCUUGAUGGCUUUGGAGGCGGCGGGAGAUCUCUAUGCCCUGAAAUGCAGUAUGCCACACCAUUUUCUCCAGACCCCCCACAGAAUCCACUUUGGGGACUUCACUGUUGGUCACUGGCUGGAAGGAGGUGCAAAGAAUGGGCUGGACAGCUCUGAAAGGGAAGCUGAUAACUUGACAGAUGGUGUAAAAACAGAGAAAACUGCAGCUCUGGAAAAGGUCUUGUCUGCCCUCACUGGACUCCUAAAUGAGUACAAGUCAGGCUUGAGGAUUAAGAAAGUACAGGAUUUUUUGCUUCUCAGGCAUGGCAUUGAUCUGCAGGAGUUCUGCG